This 395-nucleotide ribosomal RNA is filed under the name uncultured soil bacterium. RNAcentral describes it as "bacterial SSU rRNA". It matches the Rfam family "Bacterial small subunit ribosomal RNA", at positions 26 to 433 of the family's 1533-position model. The record is from RNAcentral.
AGAUUGAACGCUGGCGGCAUGCCUAACACAUGCAAGUCGAACGGGAGUAGCAAUACUCUAGUGGCGGACGGGUGAGGAAUACGUAGGAAUUUGCCCUUAAGUGGGGGAUAACCCGGGGAAACCCGGAUUAAUACCGCAUGACCUCGAAAGAGCAAAGUGGGGGAUCGCAAGACCUCACGCUUUUGGAGAAGCCUACGUCGGAUUAGCUAGUUGGUGAGGUAAUGGCUCACCAAGGCGACGAUCCGUAACUGGUCUGAGAGGAUGAUCAGUCACACCGGAACUGAGACACGGUCCGGACUCCUACGGGAGGCAGCAGUGGGGAAUAUUGGACAAUGGGCGCAAGCCUGAUCCAGCAAUGCCGCGUGUGUGAAGAAGGCCUCGGGUUGUUAAAGCGA